Molecule: non-coding RNA, 54 nt
Filed under: Spodoptera frugiperda (fall armyworm)
Lineage: Eukaryota; Metazoa; Arthropoda; Insecta; Lepidoptera; Noctuidae
Source: RNAcentral
AGGGCGGGGGCGGUCGUCGUCGUGUCGAAACGUCUGCGACGGCGCCCGUCCAAA